This 222-nucleotide small nucleolar RNA is filed under the name Sungouiella intermedia. The record is from RNAcentral. Lineage: Eukaryota; Fungi; Ascomycota; Pichiomycetes; Serinales; Metschnikowiaceae.
AACUUUGUCCAAAAGUAAUCCAUCACAUUAGACAGUGCAUCGUUAUGGUCUGGAGGACGUUUGUGGCUUGUGGGCAGUUCUUGCUUGGGGGCCACGCCGACUGAAUCUGACAUUUAGUGUAAAUGAGUGCGAUAGCUGAUGGAGAGAAGAAAACUAUGGAUCUUUAAGAACCUGUCUGGAUCGCAAGAGCUGAAAGAGAGGUGUCAGUAGGUUCAUACAUUU